GCUGUCCCGGUCCCGCUGCGUGUCCCGGGCGUUCAGCCGCUCGCUUUCUGCCUUCCAGAAGGGGAACUGCCCUCUAGGGAGACGUUCCCUGCCUGGGGUCUCCUUAUGUCAGGGACCAGGUUACCCUGACAGCAGGAAGAUGGUUUGAACAGGAGCAUCUGAGGGCCGGAGGUCACAUUUGUUACAGGAACUGAGAGAACUCUGUCUUGGUAGCAUGGUUACUAAUCCUAAAGUCAGUCAAUGCAAAGACCUGCUAAGCCCUAGGACUUUGACUGUUUGAUAAGAAUGCUGUUAUUGCCUAACGAAGAGUCUGGAGGACGGCCAUCCACGUGCGGCAUGGAUUAACUUGUGCUUCAUUAACAACAGUAGCGUCUUCAGUGUUCGCUUCUUCCAAACCACGGCAGUGUGCAAGAAUGAUGUGAUUACAGUCCA
Molecule: long non-coding RNA, 432 nt
Filed under: Rattus norvegicus (Norway rat)
Lineage: Eukaryota; Metazoa; Chordata; Mammalia; Rodentia; Muridae
Description: long non-coding RNA NONRATT025196
Source: RNAcentral